CAAGUGAGGUCACAAAGGUGUACCCUGACCCACCAUAAUUGCUAUCCUUCUGAAAAGAGGAGAUCUGGAUACAGAGAGAAGACCGUGGGAAGACACACAGGGAGGAGAUGGCCAUGUGCCUGGAGUGAUGUAUCUACAAGCCAAAGAGCACCAUGCAAUGCUGGCAGAGCUACCGAGAAGCUCAGAUCCAAAUCUGAAUGAAGCUGUUAUAGAAACCACAUUAGUCCUUACGGUUUUAUCUGCACUGAGAGGCUGGGAGCUCUACUAGAGUGGGGAUCAGCUCAUUCAUCUUUUUACCCUCCGUGCCUGUUCCAUGCAGGACCUGGGGCAUAACAGGCAUGUCUCUUUUUGGAGCCAACCAACCUAUUGACCAAAUAAAAAAUUAAUAGAUGUGAUUUGUUCAAGAUCCCCAAACUAAGUAUUGGAUAACUUAGGACUAGAAUGUCUAGCUUCUGAUUUCUAAGCUCCUAUUCUGGUGUUCUCCUUCCUAUUCCGGUGUUGCUACAGUUCCCCAAAACACAGCUCUAAUUGCCAAAAAGUUACCUGGAGAGUUCAUUAAAAUAUGGAUUCCAGGUCCCGAAUCCUAGAAAUUCGAAUUCUCUAGGUCUGUUUUAAGAAUCUGGGAACUGGUGUCUUUGACAGUUUCCCAGGUUUUGGCAACCAUCGACUUUUACACUAUACCAUGGUGCCAUUUCUUAAUACGAAAUAAUGAAUACUUUAUCCUCAGUUUGUUGAUUUUCAUGAGGUUUUAGUUGCAUUUGGGUCCAAGGAGAUAAUUUCAGACAUUUUGAAAUGUGCCACAGAUCUGAUCUAGAUCCAAAUUCACCAUGAAUUUAGGAGGAAGAAUUAUGAGCAGUACACAAUAAAACAAAACAAAAGAAAACAAGACAAAACGCUUCCUAUACUUUAGGAGAGAAUCAU
Long non-coding RNA from Felis catus (domestic cat), 921 nucleotides. RefSeq lists it as uncharacterized. The record is from RefSeq and is a predicted model, not a curated record. Lineage: Eukaryota; Metazoa; Chordata; Mammalia; Carnivora; Felidae. The transcript is spliced from 3 exons.